CCCAUUAACUCUCCAACCUUAAUUAUUUUCAAUGUCAAUUUAGUUCAAUCUCCAAAUCUUCUCCCCUUCUCCUGUAGCAUUUUCAAAAUUUAAACUCCCACUAAUAGACUUUUUGACUGAUCUGUUUUGAAACGAGAAGGUGAAACUUAUAAUGUAUGGUUUCCAUGCAAAUGAUUAAAGGCUACAACAAUGAAGAAAUUGAAUCCGAAAAGCCAAAUAUGUGUUCAAAUCAUACUUUCGACACACAUUCAAAAGUAUUAGAACUCGAGACUACAUCAAAAUCAAGAUUCAAGAUCGAAGAUAUAGAAAAAUAAGAGGAUAAUUUGUACCAAUAUCUUGUAAUUCAAAUACAAUUUUACGUAGGCAACGCCUAAAAUGUUCAAUUUUUUUGGUAAAAUAUGUUAUUUGGAAU
Spinacia oleracea (spinach) is the source of this 412-nucleotide long non-coding RNA. RefSeq lists it as uncharacterized. NCBI's taxonomy places the organism in Eukaryota, Viridiplantae, Streptophyta, Magnoliopsida, Caryophyllales, Amaranthaceae. The record is from RefSeq and is a predicted model, not a curated record. The transcript is spliced from 3 exons.